RNAcentral lists this ribosomal RNA (521 nucleotides) under uncultured marine eukaryote. RNAcentral's name for it is "SSU rRNA". It matches the Rfam family "Eukaryotic small subunit ribosomal RNA", at positions 618 to 1144 of the family's 1831-position model. The record is from RNAcentral.
GUUAAAAAGCUCGUAGUUGGAUUUCUGUUGAGGACGGCCGGUCCGCACUUUGUGCGUGUAUCUGGUUCGGCCUUGGCAUCCUCUUGAGGAACGUUCCUGCGCUUGAUUGCGUGGGGCGGUAUUCAAGACUUUUACUUUGAGGAAAUUAGAGUGUUCACGGCAGGCAAGCGCCUUGAAUACAUUAGCAUGGAAUAAUAAUAUAGGAUCUUGGUUCUAUUUGUUGGUUUCUAGGGCUAAGGUAAUGAUUAAUAGGGAUAAUUGGGGGCAUUUGUAUUAACGCGUCAGAGGUGGAAUUCUUGGAUUGCGUUACGACAAACUACUGCGAAGGCAUUUGCCAAGGAUGUUUUCAUUGAUCAAGAACGAAAGUAUGGGGAUCGAAGAUGAUUAGAUACCGUCGUAGUCUAUACCAUAAACUAUGCCGACUAGGGAUUGGAGGUCGUACUUUUUAUGACUCCUUCAGCACCUUAUGAGAAAUCAAAGUCUUUGGGUUCCGGGGGGAGUAUAGUCGCAAGGCUGAAACU